AUUAGAGUAGCAAAAAUAAUGCAUAAGAUUUAAGCUCUUAAGAUGAGAAUAUAAUAUCUCCUCCAAUA
RNAcentral lists this transfer RNA (68 nucleotides) under Upogebia pusilla (Mediterranean mud shrimp). RNAcentral describes it as "tRNA-Leu". It matches the Rfam family "tRNA". Rfam says of the family: Transfer RNA (tRNA) molecules are approximately 80 nucleotides in length. The record is from RNAcentral. Lineage: Eukaryota; Metazoa; Arthropoda; Malacostraca; Decapoda; Upogebiidae.